UUAUGGUGGGCACUCUAAGGAGACUGCCGGUGACAAACCGGAGGAAGGUGGGGAUGACGUCAAGUCAUCAUGGCCCUUACGGCCUGGGCUACACACGUGCUACAAUGGUCGGUACAGAGGGUUGCCAAGCCGCGAGGUGGAGCUAAUCCCACAAAACCGAUCGUAGUCCGGAUCGCAGUCUGCAACUCGACUGCGUGAAGUCGGAAUCGCUAGUAAUCGCGAAUCAGAAUGUCGCGGUGAAUACGUUCCCGGGCCUUGUACACACCGCCCGUCACACCAUGGGAGUGGGUUGCACCAGAAGUAGCUAGUCUAACCUUCGGGGGGACGGUUACCACGGUGUGAUUCAUGACUGGGGUGAAGUCGUAACAAGGUAGCCGUAGGGGAACCUGCGGCUGGAUCACC
This 402-nucleotide ribosomal RNA is filed under the name Mesorhizobium sp. RNAcentral describes it as "bacterial SSU rRNA". It matches the Rfam family "Bacterial small subunit ribosomal RNA", at positions 1126 to 1527 of the family's 1533-position model. The record is from RNAcentral. Lineage: Bacteria; Pseudomonadati; Pseudomonadota; Alphaproteobacteria; Hyphomicrobiales; Phyllobacteriaceae.